GACGAACGCUGGCGGCGUGCUUAACACAUGCAAGUCGAACGGUGAAGCGCCUUCCUUUUUGGUGGGUGUGGAUGAGUGGCGAACGGGUGAGUAACACGUGAGUAACCUGCCCCCUUCUUCUGGAUAACCGCAUGAAAGUGUGGCUAAUACGGGAUAUUCUGGGUCUGUCGCAUGAUGGGUCUGGGAAAGAUAUUGUUUCGGUGGGGGAUGGGCUCGCGGCCUAUCAGCUUGUUGGUGGGGUGAUGGCCUACCACGGCGGUGACGGGUAGCCGGCCUGAGAGGGUGGACGGUCACACUGGGACUGAGACACGGCCCAGACUCCUACGGGAGGCAGCAGUGGGGAAUAUUGCACAAUGGGCGCAAGCCUGAUGCAGCGACGCCGCGUGAGGGAUGGAGGCCUUCGGGUUGUGAACCUCUUUCGCCAGUGAAGCAGGCCUGCCUCGUUUGUGGGUGGGUUGACGGUAGCUGGAUAAGAAGCGCCGGCUAACUACGUG
RNAcentral lists this ribosomal RNA (494 nucleotides) under uncultured bacterium. RNAcentral's name for it is "partial 16S ribosomal RNA". It matches the Rfam family "Bacterial small subunit ribosomal RNA", at positions 28 to 507 of the family's 1533-position model. The record is from RNAcentral.